RNAcentral lists this unclassified non-coding RNA (270 nucleotides) under uncultured fungus. RNAcentral describes it as "partial contains 5.8S ribosomal RNA, internal transcribed spacer 2, and large subunit ribosomal RNA". Lineage: Eukaryota; Fungi. The record is from RNAcentral.
AACGCACAUUGCGCCCUCUGGCAUUCCGGGGGGCAUGCCUGUCCGAGCGUCAUUUCUGCCCUCCAGCACGGCUGGGUGUUGGGCGCUGUCCCCCCGGGGACACGCCCCAAAGGCAGUGGCGGCGCCGCGUCGGGUCCUCGAGCGUAUGGGGCUCUGUCACCCGCUCGGGAGGGACUCGGUCGGCGCUGGUCUUCCCCCCAGACGGCCCCCUUGCGGGCUCGUCUCCUUCCGGUUGACCUCGGAUCAGGUAGGGCUACCCGCUGAACUUAA